Molecule: ribosomal RNA, 161 nt
Filed under: uncultured bacterium
Lineage: Bacteria
Description: partial 16S ribosomal RNA
Rfam family: Bacterial small subunit ribosomal RNA
Source: RNAcentral
AAUGGCAGGUCAGCAUACUGCCGUGAAUACGUUCCCGGGCCUUGUACACACCGCCCGUCACACCAUGAGAGUUGGAAAUACCCGAAGCCUGUGAGCUGACCGUAAGGGGGCAGCAGUCGAAGGUAGAGCCAAUGAUUGGGGUGAAGUCGUAACAAGGUAAC